AACGCACAUUGCGCCCAUUGGUAUUCCGAUGGGCACGUCUGUUUGAGCGUCAUUACAAUCCUUCGGUCUGGAUUUUUACCAAUCCCGACCGGUUGUGAGCUCCGGCCCUCACCGGCCGGGCUUUAAAGUGGCACGCUCUGCGGGUGACCCAACCUGAACGAACAUAGUAGAAUCCAUUCAACCUGUUCGACUAAGGGAUGGUCAGCUCCGCCUGAACAAGAACCUAAAUUUUCUAAGGUUUGACCUCAGAUCAGACGAGGAUACCCGCUGAACUUAA
Molecule: unclassified non-coding RNA, 277 nt
Filed under: uncultured fungus
Lineage: Eukaryota; Fungi
Description: partial contains 5.8S ribosomal RNA, internal transcribed spacer 2, and large subunit ribosomal RNA
Rfam family: 5.8S ribosomal RNA (bases 1-52)
Source: RNAcentral